AGCUCCAAUAGCGUAUAUUAAAGUUGUUGCAGUUAAAAAGCUCGUAGUUGGAUUUGUGGUUUAUGCAAGACUUCCGUCCCUCUUUGGGUUCGGUGUUGUCUGGCAUUGCCAUCCUUGGGUGGAAUCUGUGUGGCAUUAGGUUGUCGUGCAGGGGAUGCCCAUCGUUUACUGUGAAAAAAUUAGAGUGUUCAAAGCAGGCUUAUGCCAUUGAAUAUGUUAGCAUGGAAUAAUAAUAUAGGACCUUGGUACUAUUUUGUUGGUUUGCGCACCGAGGUAAUGAUUAACAGGGUCAACUGGGGAUAUUCGUAUUCCGCUGUCAGAGGUGAAAUUCUUGGAUUUUUGGAAGACGAACUACUGCGAAAGCAUUUAUCAAGGAUGUUUUCAUUAAUCAAGAACGAAA
Molecule: ribosomal RNA, 400 nt
Filed under: phytoplankton environmental sample
Lineage: Eukaryota
Description: partial small subunit ribosomal RNA
Rfam family: Eukaryotic small subunit ribosomal RNA
Source: RNAcentral